UACGAAGGGGGCUAGCGUUGUUCGGAAUUACUGGGCGUAAAGCGCACGUAGGCGGACAUUUAAGUCAGGGGUGAAAUCCCGGGGCUCAACCCCGGAACUGCCUUUGAUACUGGGUGUCUGGAGUCCGGAAGAGGUGAGUGGAAUUCCGAGUGUAGAGGUGAAAUUCGUAGAUAUUCGGAGGAACACCAGUGGCGAAGGCGGCUCACUGGUCCGGUACCGACGCUGAGGUGCGAAAGCGUGGGGAGCAAACAGG
Molecule: ribosomal RNA, 253 nt
Filed under: uncultured bacterium
Lineage: Bacteria
Description: partial 16S ribosomal RNA
Rfam family: Bacterial small subunit ribosomal RNA
Source: RNAcentral